This is a long non-coding RNA of Labeo rohita (rohu), 252 nucleotides long. RefSeq lists it as uncharacterized. The transcript has 3 exons. Lineage: Eukaryota; Metazoa; Chordata; Actinopteri; Cypriniformes; Cyprinidae. The record is from RefSeq and is a predicted model, not a curated record.
GCUUGAACUUCCUAUGUCUAUGCUCAGAUCCUGUGUAAAACACACAAAAGCUCUAUGUGUGGAGGAAACCAGAGAAAACCAGAGAGAAUUGGAAGCACUGAGAGAAUUAUCUGCUUCUGUGCUUAGUGGCCUCUUUCUCCACUUGGGCUGAUUUGGAAAACACCCUCAGCAAAUUGACUGUGGAGGGAGGUAACAACUCCUGUAAGCCUCUAAAAGCUGUUUACGACAAGUCUUUGCCGAUCACCAUGGAAC